This 253-nucleotide ribosomal RNA is filed under the name uncultured bacterium. RNAcentral's name for it is "partial 16S ribosomal RNA". It matches the Rfam family "Bacterial small subunit ribosomal RNA", at positions 524 to 776 of the family's 1533-position model. The record is from RNAcentral.
UACGGAGGCCCCAAGCGUUGUUCGGAUUUAUUGGGCGUAAAGGGUGCGUAGGCGGCAUGGUAAGUCUGGUGUGAAAGGCGUGGGCUCAACCCACGGACUGCAUUGGAUACUGCCAUGCUAGAGGACUGGAGAGGAGAAUGGAAUUCACGGUGGAGCAGUGAAAUGCGUAGAUAUCGUGAGGAAGGCCAGUGGCGAAGGCGAUUCUCUGGACAGUAUCUGACGCUGAGGCACGAAGGCUGGGGGAGCGAACAGG